AACCGUAUCGACCUUUGCUUUCUUUGUCAAAGGGUUGGAUUUGGACGCUUGCGACGGGGUCUGCCCGUCGCUCGUCUUUAAAUGCAUUAGCUCUGGUGCAACCCCGAGGCGACGGUGUGAUAAUAAACGUCUUGCGCCGUUCGGCUGGCUCGUGGUGGUGGGGUUGGCCCUUUAUGCUUAAGCCGUCUUCGGACGAUGCCCUUUCAUGUC
This 210-nucleotide unclassified non-coding RNA is filed under the name uncultured Gomphales. Its description in RNAcentral is "sequence contains ITS2". The record is from RNAcentral. Lineage: Eukaryota; Fungi; Basidiomycota; Agaricomycetes.